Molecule: long non-coding RNA, 1323 nt
Organism: Phacochoerus africanus (Common warthog)
Lineage: Eukaryota; Metazoa; Chordata; Mammalia; Artiodactyla; Suidae
Exons: 3
Source: RefSeq, a predicted model, not a curated record
CUGGGCACAGGCCUGUUGCAUUCAGAGAGCUAGCAGCUGGGUUUGGAGCCAGACUCUAGCCUGAGUUUAAGUAGCUCCAACCCGGUGCUGGAAGCUAAAUGUCACCCAGGAUGAUGAAAUCAGUCCAUCCUCAUCCACAGGAGGCCAUCUGACAGCAUCAUGUGUUCAGUGUUGAACUUGACCUUGCCUGCAAGGCUCCCUGUUUUUCUAUCAACUGCACCAGCAGAGAAGACAACCGAAGUUAUGGUGUGUUUGGGCAGUGAGACCAUCUCCCUAACCUGGCUGAGCCACCAUGCUGCACUGGUGGCAUAUAGAGGUUCCAGGGCCAGGGAUUGAAUCUGCACCUCUACAAUGACCCAAGCUGUUCCAGCUGGAUUCUUUACCCACUGUGCCAUGGCGGGAGCUCCUGUGUGGUCUUUCCUUAUAAAGGUGAUGUUACUCAUCUCUCAAACCGUGACUUCUUUCGCUUUGCUGCCUUUCCUCGCCUCAGGAAGAAGCUGGGUGUUUAUGAAGUUGGGUCCUUCACUUAACCUGUUACAUCUUCACUUCUCAUGGAGCAUGCACAAGGAAAGGAGCUUUGCUGAAUAAGGAAGAGAAGAAAAGGCACGAGGAAAGGAAGAGAGAAGAGAAUGGGGAAAAAGGGGAGGCUGGAGAAACAGAGAGGAAGCAGGAAGGGGGGAGGGAAGGAACUUCUAGGUUCAAGAUUUCCAAUGAAUCUCUAAGAAAAAGUCAGCCAGUAUCUAACUCAGCCACUUUGAGGCUCUGCUGAUGGAAUGAAUGUCCUUGAAGUGGCCUUUGCAACACAUAUUACUCUACAGACAAUGACAGACUAGGCUCCUGGUCCACUUAAGGAAGCUUUCGAGGGGCUUCUGACCUAAGAAAGGAUGGGCUCACUAACAGACUGAAGCAUGGUUAACAGUCUGGGAUGAAUAAGAUGUAAUUUUGUAUUCAAUAAACCUGUUACAUAUUCAUUUCCAAAUGUGCCUGGAAUCAAACCAGGCCAUCAGAAGUCAGCAUCACCAAGCAAUUUUAUCCUUCAUCCUGCGUUCACUUUUCAGAUCUGACACAUUUCCAUUCCCCUUUGAACUUGCAAUCUCGGGGCCUCUCAGACAGGAGACAUUUCCAUUCUUUCCAUUCUCAAUUCUCCGAUCUCUUAGAGAUGAGGCAAUUCUGUUUUCACUGUACUGAUUCAAGAAAUACUGAUAGGAAAAAAUAAAUACCUGGCUUGGCUUCCCACCCUCUCUAGGAGAAACCUAAGCUGUUCUGGGAACAUUAAUUACAAAGAAUGAGUGGCUGCUCUUGUUUGUUUGUUUUGCUUUUUAG